CUUUGUUGUGUAGGAGUCAUAUUAAUAGUCCUUGGUAGAGUGCCAGACAUACCUAGAGUGGCCCCUAUAACUCCAAUCAGGAACCAAACAAGUUGAUGAGAGUAGCCUGGUCACAGCUGUUGCCUAUAGCUCUGACUAGGUCCCUCUUCCUCUCCGAGACCAGCCAGAGUCAGUUUAUAUAAGGGAGAGGAGGAGGUGAGAGGCUGAUGUCUCCUAAGCUGGCCUUCCUUCUGCUAUGCCAGCGAAGAGAGCCUCUUAACAGGAAAAAGAACAGCUUGUUGCAAUACCUCAUGAGAACGAACUAAAGAAUAAUCAUAAAGACCUGAAAAACCGAGGAGAGUUGGAAUAUAACCCUUUGGAAAGAAAUCCUUUGUCUUAUUCCAGAAGAAAACAAAACACCAGUGCAUGGCAUCCUAACGGCAUAUCAGAUCUAAUAUUAUCCAUGAUGGCCUUUUACUUCUCUGAGACAUACACUCAGAUCUGCAGAUGUGAAAUUAAUUGGAUAAAGUCACUUGAGAAAAUCCUAGAAAAAUGGAGAAGAUGUGAACACUGAAAUGCUUUGAUUCGAUUGAAGGAAUCUGGUUCUCUCAUGAUGCCUCUAAAUAUUACCCAAAGGAAGAAUUGUUCCAUCUGACGAGAAGCUUUUGGACUUCUUACGACAAGCUGCAUGACCAAUGAAUGACACUGAAUUUAAAGAAUUCUCAGAUCAAAGAAGAUUAUAUCAGUCUGGACUGGUAAUAUGAAAGAGAGUCAUGACUUAGAAUCCUCAGACUGGUUAACCUAUAAGAAUGAUACUCAUUAAAAAUAUAUAUAUAUACAUAUAUGUAAAAUAUUUUAUAUAACAUUAUGACAUCCAUAUAAUAAUAUAGAGUAGGGAG
This 878-nucleotide long non-coding RNA is filed under the name Monodelphis domestica (gray short-tailed opossum). RNAcentral's name for it is "lncRNA (ENSMODG00000033441.2)". Lineage: Eukaryota; Metazoa; Chordata; Mammalia; Didelphimorphia; Didelphidae. The record is from RNAcentral.